This 253-nucleotide ribosomal RNA is filed under the name uncultured bacterium. RNAcentral's name for it is "partial 16S ribosomal RNA". It matches the Rfam family "Bacterial small subunit ribosomal RNA", at positions 524 to 776 of the family's 1533-position model. The record is from RNAcentral.
UACGAAGGGGGCUAGCGUUGCUCGGAAUCACUGGGCGUAAAGGGUGCGUAGGCGGGUCUUUAAGUCAGGGGUGAAAUCCUGGAGCUCAACUCCAGAACUGCCUUUGAUACUGAGGAUCUUGAGUUCGGGAGAGGUGAGUGGAACUGCGAGUGUAGAGGUGAAAUUCGUAGAUAUUCGCAAGAACACCCGUGGCGAAGGCGGCUCACUGGCCCGAUACUGACGCUGAGGCACGAAAGCGUGGGGAGCAAACAGG